This 553-nucleotide ribosomal RNA is filed under the name uncultured Bacillota bacterium. Its description in RNAcentral is "bacterial SSU rRNA". It matches the Rfam family "Bacterial small subunit ribosomal RNA", at positions 8 to 561 of the family's 1533-position model. Lineage: Bacteria; Bacillati; Bacillota. The record is from RNAcentral.
AGAGUUUGAUCAUGGCUCAGGAUGAACGCUGGCGGCGUGCCUAACACAUGCAAGUCGAGCGAGAAGGUUAUGACGGAUUCUUCGGAUGAUGGAUUAACUGGAAAGCGGCGGACGGGUGAGUAACGCGUGGGUAACCUGCCCCAUACACAGGGAUAGCCAUUGGAAACGAUGAUUAAUACCUGAUAACACAUUUAAGUCGCAUGGCUUAAAUGUCAAAGAUUUAUCGGUAUGGGAUGGACCCGCGUCUGAUUAGCUAGUUGGUAAGGUAACGGCUUACCAAGGCGACGAUCAGUAGCCGACCUGAGAGGGUGAUCGGCCACACUGGAACUGAGACACGGUCUAGACUCCUACGGGAGGCAGCAGUGGGGAAUAUUGCACAAUGGGCGCAAGCCUGAUGCAGCAACGCCGCGUGAGCGAAGAAGGUCUUCGGAUCGUAAAGCUCUUUUCUUAGGGAAGAAAAAUGACGGUACCUAAGGAAUAAGCACCGGCUAAAUACGUGCCAGCAGCCGCGGUAAUACGUAUGGUGCAAGCGUUAUCCGGAAUCACUGGGCGU